CCUACGGGAGGCAGCAGUGGGGAAUUUUGGACAAUGGGCGCAAGCCUGAUCCAGCCAUGCCGCGUGUGGGAAGAAGGCCUUCGGGUUGUAAAUCACUUUUGUCAGGGAAGAAACGGUCUUUUCUAAUACAAGGGGCUAAUGACGGUACCUGAAGAAUAAGCACCGGCUAACUACGUGCCAGCAGCCGCGGUAAUACGUAGGGUGCAAGCGUUAAUCGGAAUUACUGGGCGUAAAGCGUGCGCAGGCGGCUUUGCAAGACAGAUGUGAAAUCCCCGGGCUCAACCUGGGAACUGCAUUUGUGACUGCAUGGCUAGAGUGCGGCAGAGGGGGAUGGAAUUCCGCGUGUAGCAGUGAAAUGCGUAGAUAUGCGGAGGAACACCGAUGGCGAAGGCAAUCCCCUGGGCCUGCACUGACGCUCAUGCACGAAAGCGUGGGGAGCAAACAGGAUUAGAUACCCUGGUAGUCCACGCCCUAAACGAUGUCAACUGGUUGUUGGACGGCUUGCUGUUCAGUAACGAAGCUAACGCGUGAAGUUGACCGCCUGGGGAGUACGGCCGCAAGGUUGAAACUCAAAUGAAUUGACGG
This 585-nucleotide ribosomal RNA is filed under the name uncultured bacterium. Its description in RNAcentral is "bacterial SSU rRNA". It matches the Rfam family "Bacterial small subunit ribosomal RNA", at positions 338 to 916 of the family's 1533-position model. The record is from RNAcentral.